UACGUAUGGGGCAAGCGUUAUCCGGAUUUACCGGGUGUAAAGGGAGCGUAGGCGGCGGGGCAAGCCUGAUGUGAAAGCCCGGGGCUCAACCCCGGGACUGCAUUGGGAACUGCCCUGCUGGAGUGCCGGAGGGGCAGGCGGAAUUCCUAGUGUAGCGGUGAAAUGCGUAGAUAUUAGGAGGAACACCAGUGGCGAAGGCGGCCUGCUGGACGGUGACUGACGCUGAGGCUCGAAAGCGUGGGGAGCAAACAGG
This 253-nucleotide ribosomal RNA is filed under the name uncultured bacterium. RNAcentral's name for it is "partial 16S ribosomal RNA". It matches the Rfam family "Bacterial small subunit ribosomal RNA", at positions 524 to 776 of the family's 1533-position model. The record is from RNAcentral.